GGUGCGUAGCUUAGCUGCUCCUCAGUAUGUGGGACCUUCCCAGAUCAGGGAUCCAACUCGUGUGCCCUGAAUUGGCAGGUGGAUUCUUUACCACGAACCACCAGGGUAGCCCAGUUGUGAAUGUUUUUAACAUUUCCUUUCCCCUAUAGAAUUCUCUUAUCAACAGAUCAUAGCUCAUCUGCUUCUGUUGAAAGUUGGUUUUCCAGGCUUGCUCAACACAGGUUCUUGGGUUAAGCAUUCAGUGCUUGGAAGGUUCUUAACAGAGUGAAUGGCACAGGUGGUGGUGGUGUUGAGUCACAGAUCAUGUCCAGCCCUUUGUGACCUCAUGGACUGUAGCCCACAAGGCUCCUCUGUCCGUGGGAUUCUCCAGGCAAGAAUACAGGAGUGGGUUGCCAUUGCCUUCUUCAGGGGAUCGUCCUGAUCCAGGGAUCAAACCCAUGUCUCCUGAAUUGCAGGCAGAUUCUUUACUGCUGAGUCACCAGGGAAGCCCCUGUGGCACAGGCAGAUUCUUUACCAUCUGAGCCACCAGGGAAGCCCAAGAACAAGCCAGGAGGACUCAUUUUAUUCAAUAGUUGCCAUAAAUAAAUAUAUGUAAAAUG
Long non-coding RNA from Bos taurus (domestic cattle), 599 nucleotides. The record is from Ensembl. Lineage: Eukaryota; Metazoa; Chordata; Mammalia; Artiodactyla; Bovidae.